This 155-nucleotide ribosomal RNA is filed under the name Biscogniauxia citriformis. RNAcentral describes it as "5.8S ribosomal RNA". It matches the Rfam family "5.8S ribosomal RNA". Rfam says of the family: 5.8S ribosomal RNA (5.8S rRNA) is a component of the large subunit of the eukaryotic ribosome. The record is from RNAcentral. Lineage: Eukaryota; Fungi; Ascomycota; Sordariomycetes; Xylariales; Xylariaceae.
AACUUUCAACAACGGAUCUCUUGGUUCUGGCAUCGAUGAAGAACGCAGCGAAAUGCGAUAAGUAAUGUGAAUUGCAGAAUUCAGUGAAUCAUCGAAUCUUUGAACGCACAUUGCGCCCGACGGUAUUCCGUCGGGCAUGCCUGUCCGAGCGUCAU